Molecule: long non-coding RNA, 483 nt
Organism: Rana temporaria (common frog)
Lineage: Eukaryota; Metazoa; Chordata; Amphibia; Anura; Ranidae
Exons: 3
Source: RefSeq, a predicted model, not a curated record
CUGGACAACCAUACAACCAUGUCCCGGCCAAUCAACGGAUUUGCAGUUGUGGAGGUGCGCUCCAGAGCAAAAAUUGAGAAAAUCCGAGCAAGUUUAUUUAAUAGCAGUGAUCUGAUUGGUUUGUCAAGUCUGGAUGGAGAAGAUGAGCUUAUGAAGAUGUCUACAGAGGAAAUACUGACAGUCUCCACAGUAAACCAGAGUUUGUUUGAUAUCUAGGGAAUUCCAGGUUUAGGAGAUUACUUCACUGAUAAAACCCUGAAAGGUGACAAGUUGGUCCCAGAAGCUCGAGAUGUUCUAAUAGAAAUAUUCAAAAGCUGCAUUCAUGCUGAACAAAUGCUCAGUCUGACUCCCGCCAAGUUCAUUAAGGUAUCUGAUAUUUAUUUGAGCAAAGAGCAGAUGAAUUCUCAGACACGAGGAAACCUUCUACAUACGUUCUUCACCAAUGUUCGCCCCCCCAAAGAAACUCCUGGAAGAUCAGCUUAC